AUUGAACGCUGGCGGCAUGCCUUACACAUGCAAGUCGAACGGUAACAGGUCUUCGGAUGCUGACGAGUGGCGAACGGGUGAGUAAUACAUCGGAACGUGCCUAGUAGUGGGGGAUAACUACUCGAAAGAGUGGCUAAUACCGCAUGAGAUCUACGGAUGAAAGCAGGGGAUCGCAAGAACUUGUGCUACUAGAGCGGCCGAGGGCAGAUUAGGUAGUUGGUGGGAUAAAAGCUUACCAAGCCGACGAUCUGUAGCUGGUCUGAGAGGACGAUCAGCCACACUGGGACUGAGACACGGCCCAGACUCCUACGGGAGGCAGCAGUGGGGAAUUUUGGACAAUGGGCGAAAGCCUGAUCCAGCAAUGCCGCGUGCAGGAUGAAGGCCUUCGGGUUGUAAACUGCUUUUGUACGGAACGAAAAGCCCCGGGUUAAUACCCUGGGGUAAUGACGGUACCGUAAGAAUAAGCACCGGCUAACUACGUGCCAGCAGCCGCCGUAA
This 498-nucleotide ribosomal RNA is filed under the name uncultured bacterium. RNAcentral describes it as "partial 16S ribosomal RNA". It matches the Rfam family "Bacterial small subunit ribosomal RNA", at positions 30 to 523 of the family's 1533-position model. The record is from RNAcentral.